GCGGGGGUGGCAGAGCCUGGUCAAAUGCGCAAGGUUGAGGGCCUUGUCCCUUAGUGGGUGCGCGCGUUCGAAUCGCGUCCCCCGCA
RNAcentral lists this transfer RNA (86 nucleotides) under Candidatus Woesearchaeota archaeon. RNAcentral describes it as "tRNA-Leu". Lineage: Archaea; Nanobdellati; Candidatus Woesearchaeota. The record is from RNAcentral.